GUGCAUUCUGGGGUCAUUUUGGCUGUUAGUGGCUUGCUUGGCGUUUGAGCCUGGUGGGCGGCUAUAGGUUAUGUGUCUUCGGGGAUGUAUACUGUAAAGGUGCAUGAGUGGUGUUUGGUGUGUUACGGGUGGUUGGCUCUUUGCUUGCGCAACAACUUCCUCCCGGCAUSCCUCUUCAGUCUUGUGUCAAUGCUUGUAUGGCAUUGAAUGCAUGAUGGGUUUCUUGUGUUGCAUACCUAUUGAUGGUAUCUUUUGAUGAAUUGGUUUCCCUUUUCGUCGUGCGUCGCUCAUGCGAUGUGAGAUGAACCUUGAGGCAGCCCUUGUGAUCCACUAUUUUGAUGCAUACGCAUUGAUUUUGUGGCCCAUUGAGUGUUGCUUGGUCUCAUGGAUAUGGAACUUGGUGUGGGCAUGGAAUCUUAAUGGUUCCUUGUUUGCCCAAAUUUAGCUUUUUAAAACGAUCGUCUAUCGUGUGUUAACGUGAUAGACUAAUUCGUAUAUGAAUGCUACCUGGUUGAUCCUGCCAGUAGUCAUAUGCUUGUCUCA
This 543-nucleotide unclassified non-coding RNA is filed under the name Helichrysum hamulosum. RNAcentral's name for it is "partial external transcribed spacer". The record is from RNAcentral. Lineage: Eukaryota; Viridiplantae; Streptophyta; Magnoliopsida; Asterales; Asteraceae.